UCCCUGGUGGCUCAGAUGGUAAAGAAUCUGCCUGCAAUGCAGGAGACCGGGGUUCAAUCCCUUGAUUGGGAA
This 72-nucleotide transfer RNA is filed under the name Bos taurus (domestic cattle). It matches the Rfam family "tRNA". Rfam says of the family: Transfer RNA (tRNA) molecules are approximately 80 nucleotides in length. The record is from Rfam by way of RNAcentral. Lineage: Eukaryota; Metazoa; Chordata; Mammalia; Artiodactyla; Bovidae. RNAcentral also lists the same sequence under 2 other names.